UACAGAGGGUGCGAGCGUUGUCCGGAAUCACUGGGCGUAAAGGGCGCGUAGGCUGCCUGAUAAGUAGGGGGUGAAAUCCUGUGGCUUAACUGCAGGGCUGCCUCCUAGACUGUUAGGCUCGAGCACGGUAGAGGCAGAUGGAAUUCCCGGUGUAGCGGUGGAAUGCGUAGAGAUCGGGAAGAACAUCGGUGGCGAAGGCGGUCUGCUGGGCCGUUGCUGACGCUGAAGCGCGACAGCGUGGGGAGCAAACAGG
This 253-nucleotide ribosomal RNA is filed under the name uncultured bacterium. RNAcentral describes it as "partial 16S ribosomal RNA". It matches the Rfam family "Bacterial small subunit ribosomal RNA", at positions 524 to 776 of the family's 1533-position model. The record is from RNAcentral.